UCUGNAACCCGACUCCGUGAAGCUGGAUUCGCUAGUAAUCGCGCAUCAGCCAUGGCGCGGUGAAUACGUUCCCGGGCCUUGUACACACCGCCCGUCACACCAUGAGAGUUGGAGAUACCCGAAGCCUGUGAGCUAACAAACGAGGCAGCAGUCGAAGGUAGAAUCAAUGAUUGGGGUGAAGUCGUAACAAGGUACC
RNAcentral lists this ribosomal RNA (196 nucleotides) under uncultured bacterium. Its description in RNAcentral is "partial 16S ribosomal RNA". It matches the Rfam family "Bacterial small subunit ribosomal RNA", at positions 1304 to 1500 of the family's 1533-position model. The record is from RNAcentral.